UGAGUACGAGCUGCUACGGCAGCGAAGUGGGUGAUGUCAAGCUUCCAAGAAAAGCCCUAUACCCGUUAAGGCAUGAUGGCCUGUACCCGAAACCGACACAGGUGGGGUGGUAGAGAAUACCGAGGGGCGCGAGAUAACUCUCUCUAAGGAACUCGGCAAAAUGGCCCCGUAACUUCGGGAGAAGGGGUGCCACCGCAAGGUGGUCGCAGUGAAGAGGCCCAGGCGACUGUUUACCAAAAACACAGGUCUCCGCUAAGUCGCAAGACGAUGUAUGGGGGCUGACGCCUGCCCAGUGCCGGAAGGUUAAGGAAGCUGGUCAGCGUAAGCGAAGCUAGCGACUGAAGCCCCGGUGAACGGCGGCCGUAACUAUAACGGUCCUAAGGUAGCGAAAUCCCUUGUCGGGUAAGUUCCGACCCGCACGAAAGGCGUAACGAUCUGGGCGCUGUCUCGGAGAGAGGCUCGGCGAAAUAGAAUUGUCUGUGAAGAUGCGGACUACGUGCACCCGGACAGAAAGACCCUAUGAAGCUUUACUGUAGCUUGGUAUUGUGCCCGGGCUCUGAAUGCGCAGGAUAGGUGGGAGGCUUUGAUCCAUUGCUUGUGGGUGAUGGUGAGCCAACGGUGAGAUACCACUCUUUCAGAGCUAGGGUUCUAACGGUCACCCGUCAUCCGGGGACCGGACAGUAUCAGGUGGGCAGUUUGACUGGGGCGGUCGCCUCCUAAAAGGUAACGGAGGCGCGCAAAGGUUUGCUCAGGCUGGUUGGAAAUCAGCCGACGAGUGUAAAAGCAGAAGCAAGCUUGACUGUGAGACCUACAAGUCGAACAGGGACGAAAGUCGGCUUUAGUGAUCCGACGGUUCUGAGUGGAAGGGCCGUCGCUCAACGGAUAAAAGUUACUCUAGGAUAACAGGCUGAUCUCCCCCAAGAGUUCACAUCGACGGGGAGGUUUGGCACCUCGAUGUCGGCUCAUCGCAACCUGGGGCUGAAGUCGGUCCCAAGGGUUGGGCUGUUCGCCCAUUAAAGCGGUACGCGAGCUGGGUUCAGAACGUCGUGAGACAGUUCGGUCCAUAUCCGGUGCAUGCGCAGGAAUAUUGAGAGGAUUUCUCCCUAGUACGAGAGGACCGGGAGGAACGCACCUCUGGUGUGCCAGUUAUCGUGCCAACGGUAAACGCUGGGUAGCCAUGUGCGGAGAGGAUAACCGCUGAAAGCAUCUAAGUGGGAAGCCCACCUCAAGAUGAGUAUUCCCAUGGCGUUAGCCAGUAAGGUCACGGGCAGAACACCCGUUGAUAGGCUCUACGUGGAAGCCGGGUAACCGGUGAAGCGGAGGAGUACUAAUAGACCGAGGGCUUGA
Molecule: ribosomal RNA, 1347 nt
Filed under: metagenome
Description: bacterial LSU rRNA
Rfam family: Bacterial large subunit ribosomal RNA
Source: RNAcentral